AUCAGGUGGAACACUGCUGUAAAACACCUCACUAUACUGACCUCACAUCAGUACAACUGUCUCUGGCUCUGAAGUGAUAUGGAAGUCCCAUUGACGCGUCACUCUUCAUGGACACACAGCUGGGUUCUGGUCUGAUGACUGUCACAAAAAAACAGAAAGUGACACCACGAUGUCUAUGGAAAGUAGAAGACUAUUCAGAACAUGUCCCAGUCUCUGUUAAAAGAAGGGUGAUAUACUGUAUGCUUGUCAGCACGGAAAGAACUACAAGAAGACAACCACAACAGAUGAUUUGGAUCUGCUGAAACAGUUCUACACUGCCAUCAUCGAAUCCAUCCUCUGCACCUCAGUGACUGUUUGGUUCAGCUCAGCUACCCAAUCUGACCUCAAGAGACUACAGAGGGAAGUCCGGACUGCUGAGCGAAUCAUCGGCACAACUCUCCCCACACUCCAAGAUCUGUACUUCUCCAGAGUGAGCAAAAGGGAAAAGACAAUCACUCUGGACCCCUCACAUCCAGCACAC
Long non-coding RNA from Tachysurus fulvidraco (yellow catfish), 520 nucleotides. RefSeq lists it as uncharacterized. The transcript has 3 exons. The record is from RefSeq and is a predicted model, not a curated record. Lineage: Eukaryota; Metazoa; Chordata; Actinopteri; Siluriformes; Bagridae.